RNAcentral lists this ribosomal RNA (303 nucleotides) under uncultured bacterium. RNAcentral describes it as "bacterial SSU rRNA". It matches the Rfam family "Bacterial small subunit ribosomal RNA", at positions 355 to 649 of the family's 1533-position model. The record is from RNAcentral.
UGGGGAAUCUUCCGCAAUGGGCGCAAGCCUGACGGAGCAACGCCGCGUGAAUGAAGAAGGUCUUCGGAUCGUAAAGUUCUGUUCUUAGGGAAGAAGUCUUAGGUUGUGAAUAAUGACUUAAGGUGACGGUACCUAUGGAGAAAGCUCCGGCUAACUACGUGCCAGCAGCCGCGGUAAUACGUAGGGAGCGAGCGUUGUCCGGAAUUACUGGGCGUAAAGGGCGCGUAGGCGGGAACUUAAGUUAGAUGUGAAAACUCCGGGCUCAACCUGGAGACUGCAUUUAAAACUGGGUUUCUUGAGGGC